AGAGUUUGAUCCUGGCUCAGGAUGAACGCUAGCUACAGGCUUAACACAUGCAAGUCGAGGGGCAGCAUGUUGGUUGCUUGCAACCAACGAUGGCGACCGGCGCACGGGUGAGUAACGCGUACCCAACCUACCCUUGUCCAUCGGAUAACCCGUCGAAAGGCGGCCUAACACGAUAUGCGGUUCACAGCAGGCAUCUAACGUGAACGAAAUGUAAAGGAGAAGGAUGGGGAUGCGUCUGAUUAGCUUGGUUGGCGGGGUAACGGCCACCAAGGCUACGAUCAGUAGGGGUUCUGAGAGGAAGGUCCCCCANAUUGGAACUGAGACACGGUCCAAACUCCUACGGGAGCA
This 348-nucleotide ribosomal RNA is filed under the name uncultured bacterium. Its description in RNAcentral is "bacterial SSU rRNA". It matches the Rfam family "Bacterial small subunit ribosomal RNA", at positions 8 to 349 of the family's 1533-position model. The record is from RNAcentral.